This 490-nucleotide ribosomal RNA is filed under the name uncultured bacterium. Its description in RNAcentral is "partial 16S ribosomal RNA". It matches the Rfam family "Bacterial small subunit ribosomal RNA", at positions 30 to 507 of the family's 1533-position model. The record is from RNAcentral.
AUUGAACGCUGGCGGCAGGCCUAACACAUGCAAGUCGAACGGUAACAGGAAGACGCUUGCUUCUUUGCUGACGAGUGGCGGGCGGGUGAGUAAUGUCUGGGAAACUGCCUGAUGGAGGGGGAUAACUACUGGAAACGGUUGCUAAUACCGCAUAACGUCGCAAGCCCAAAGAGGGGGGCCUUCGGGCCUCUUGCCAUCGGAUAGGCCCAGAUGGGUUUGGCUAGUAGGUGGGGUACAGGCUAACCUAGGCGACGAGCCCUAGCUGGUCUGCGAGGAAGAACAGGCACACUGGAACUGAGACACGGUCCAGACUCCUACGGGAGGCAACAGUGGGGAAUAUUGCACAAUGGGCGCAAGCCUGAUGCAGCCAUGCCGCGUGUAUGAAGAAGGCCUUCGGGUUGUAAAGUACUUUCAGCCGGGAGGAAGGGAAGAAAGUUAAUACCUUUCCUCAUUGACGUUACCAGCAGAAGAAGCACCGGCUAACUCCGUG